GUGUGUAAUUAUAUAUAAACAUAUUAAGAUUUUUUUUUUUAGAUAAUGUUUUAUGGUUUUAGUUAAGUGUUUCAUCUAAUAUUUACAUUUUAUUUUCUUUAAACUUUAUUCUAACGGAAAAAAAAAAAUACAGUUGUAAAUUUAGUUCACAUUAACAAUGCUCAUUUUGUGUAAUAUUUUAGAACAAAGCACUGAAGUCACAGACCACCAGCACCCCUUAAGCAUAGUAAAAUAACACUCUCUCGUGGCAUUGCCAUCUGCUCCAGGAACUGUGAUGAGCUCGGUCUCUGUGCAUGCGUCCACUAAGGAUAUUGAUUAUUCCCUGCCAGGGCUGCAUGCAGUCAUGCUCAGAUGCCGGUUGCCCAUGGUUACGGCUGCGCUGCAGAGGGCGAGCGCCGCUGAGAUCACCGUGAAGUCCAUCUGAGCACAGCGUGUUUGUGCUGCAGAGUCCAGACCGUUUCCCAAGGUUAAUGAACCCAUUGUAAAUCAGAUCACAUCCUGUGACCGGCCUGAAAUGAUCAGAGAUUUACUCACAUACAGAGAGAGUGAGAGAGAGAGAGAGAGAGAGCUGGGGGAGGGGGUGUACAGAAAUGUGAGUUGAAUAUCAAAUCCUAGAUCACACACACAUACACCCACCAGCCUGCAAUUACAUAUUCAGGGUUCGGGGGAAACAGAUGUGAUUAUUUAAGAAACUACCUUUAAGAAAAUGCAUAUUGGUUUACAACAAGUAAUCUGAAUCAGUGGCAGUGUUCAUAAUGAAUUUUUGCCACCCUGCUGCAGUAUUUAGUAGCUAUGUAUAUUACAUAUCCCAGCUGGCAUUUCAGCAUUUAUUCAUGGAUAAAUCACUGUGGAACUGUUUCAGCUUUGCUAAUUGAUUCAAUUUUGAUCUAUUUUUUAUUGUUGGUAGAGCUGGGUUUAAAAUGCUGAUUUCUUGGUUUUAAUCGAUUCUCAUUUUGAUAAACCAAUUUUGAUUCUUAAAUCCGAAAAAUCAAUCCUUUAGUUCAUGCUGUUUUUAGUUCACUUAACUUUAUUUGCAGCAUGCAUCCCAUUCAAUUAAUCGCAGUAUGCUUUGUACUUUGCUAAUUUUGAUGUAAAACAGAAUCUCUGCUUUCAAAUUCUAUUUUAUUACAAAGUUCAAAUGUUUUAAUGCAUUUUAAACUAAGCCGGCUGCUAGCCGCAUUAUCGAAUUGCAUAUAGACAUUGGUAUCAAAUCACAAGCUUAUGAAUCAAAAUAACCAUAAUCAGCCCAAGCUGUUUCUAUAUUUUUCAUAGUAAUCUUCUUAAAAUGUCAAUGUUAAUUCUUAAGUCUUCUGUUAACUUUCAUACAAGCAUUUGGCAUUAAACUACAUUCAGGAUCAAUCAGGUGCCUACUGGGAUAAUAUGCAAAUCUUCUGCAUGCAGAGAGAUGACUGGCAACGUUUGCAAAAAUGUUGUAGGCCUACUGUUUUACCAUUUCCCACAAUGCAAUGCAUGUAAUUUAUUAAAUGGUUCCUAAAUGAUCGCUAUAGAUUUGGGCACAUCUUGUGUAGGCCUACUUCAAGUCCUGUCCAUCCAGUGUUUCCUGGAAUGGAAUACUGCACAUUAUGAAUACUAUACAUUUAGUAGUAGGCCUAUGCAAUGUUGUCACAUGACCUCCAUUCAACUCUGAUGUACAUUUUUAUUUUUAUUUUUUGUCAAAUCUGGAAGUCCAAUCAAAUGAGUCAAGAAAGAUUUCCGCCAGAGCAGAGUACAUUAUGGGAUAUAUGCUAUUUAUUUCAAGUUUGCUAAUGUGUUACCAGUUAUAUUGGUCUUAUAUUCAAUGGACGGCAUUCUUGUGCACUCGUUGUUGGCUGACUGAAGUGGCUCACACUCUUCAAGCGUGUCCACAAUGGCUCUGAAAUAUAAAUAACAUUAUAUCUUACAUUUUAAGAUUUAUCGUUUGUUUACAGUAUUUUUGAGGUUAAUACAAGUUCAGCUCUUGCAAACCCCAUAUGCAUUUUAUAACUGCAUGGAAGGAGUGUUGUUUUGAAACCGGAAUGUUUCUCGAAAAUUGCUUCCUGCAGUUCCUGUGACGCAUGAACAUGACGCAAAAUGCAGAACAUAUGUUUAAUGUGUGAUUUGUCAGAGUGGUUUGGGCGAAGGACAUUCUCUGGGUCUAAACUUAAACGUUUUAUUUAGUUAGACUGUGUGCCGCACGCGCGUUUAUGAGCACUAGGUGGCAGUCUCAGAUUCACUUUUACUAUUAAAAUCACACCCAUGAAGGGCACUGAUGUGAUUUAUUAUAUCCGAUUCUUGUAACUGCAUUCAUAAAAAGUCAAACGCUGACGAAGCAUGACUUGAAAGACAAUACAUUGGCGAUUUUUCUCUGAAAGCUGACUGUAAGAAAACAGAUGAAACCGGCUUGUUUGUUGAUGUCAAGCACAGUUUCAUCAGAGCGGUUUCUUUUCGUCCUCAGAGGCCGUUCAUCACCAUCAGGAGCAGAAUAAAUGGCUCUGUAAUUACAAUAUAUCACUGCAGGCACUGGGACGGACAUGCUCUCCAGCGCAGGUUCCCAUGGAUACUCUGUCUGUUCUGGAACCUUUCUAAUGCGAGUCAUUGACUUCCAUUAGACAGCCGAGCGUCAGCCAGCGAGAGCAUGCUUCAGCAGAGCUGCUGCUGCACCCAGCGUACCUCUUUGCAUCCUCCUUACUUACAGAAAUGGAAAUCCAAAUAUACAUCACUAGCUUUAAAUUAGUGGCAAAAAUGUAGCUUAUAGUGAUCAACACCCUGCAGUGAGCAGCUAAUUGAAUGUCAUUUUUAAAAGGAAGUAGAUCUUUGAAUGCUUGAUGAGAAGAAGAUCAAAGAGUUCAAUGGUUGUAUAUCAUGAUUAACAGUUAGCACAAGCCAUCUUAUUUUCUAAAACACUGUAUCUGCAUUGCUGGCAUUAGUGUUAGUUUAUGUGGGCAUGUUCAGAAUAACAAUUAACUGUACUGCAAGUACAAAUUCUGCAGUAUGUAUACUGUGGGCAGAUUUAGCAUUUUAUGCAUAUAAUACUCAAUGGAUUGCUACAGUGUUUUCAAAUGUUAUUUAUUCCUGAUAGCAUAUUGCAUGUUUUUUUUUUGUUUUUUUUUUGUAGCAGGCCUGAUUUGCAAUAAAUAAUGCGUCCCAAAA
Molecule: long non-coding RNA, 3129 nt
Organism: Carassius gibelio (silver crucian carp)
Lineage: Eukaryota; Metazoa; Chordata; Actinopteri; Cypriniformes; Cyprinidae
Exons: 3
Source: RefSeq, a predicted model, not a curated record